Molecule: ribosomal RNA, 301 nt
Filed under: uncultured bacterium
Lineage: Bacteria
Description: partial 16S ribosomal RNA
Rfam family: Bacterial small subunit ribosomal RNA
Source: RNAcentral
CAGUCGCCGCGGGAAUACGAAGGGGGCUAGCGUUGUUCGGAAUUACUGGGCGUAAAGGGCGCGUAGGCGGCCAUUCAAGUUAGAUGUGAAAGCCCUGGGCUCAGCCUAGGAAUUGCAUUUGAUACUGUUUGGCUUGAGUUCGGGAGAGGUGAGUGGAAUUCCCAGUGUAGAGGUGGAAUUCGUAGAUAUUGGGAAGAACACCAGUGGCGAAGGCGGCUCACUGGACCGACACUGACGCUGAGGCGCGAAAGCGUGGGGAGCAAACAGGAUUAGAUACCCCGGUAGUCCCUGUCUCUUAUAC